This 652-nucleotide ribosomal RNA is filed under the name Phellinus livescens. RNAcentral's name for it is "eukaryotic LSU rRNA". The stretch from base 234 to 387 matches the Rfam family "5.8S ribosomal RNA". The record is from RNAcentral. Lineage: Eukaryota; Fungi; Basidiomycota; Agaricomycetes; Hymenochaetales; Hymenochaetaceae.
GAGUAUAGUCGUAACAUGGUUUUAGUAGGUGAUGCUGCGGAAUGAUCAUCAACGUGAUAUAGGUUGAUGCUGGAGUAUACAUGUGCUCGCCUUUAUUAUUAUUAUUCUCAACCCCUGUGCACCUUAUCAAAGUUAGUAGUGGUAGUGGUAGGAUGACCAUUCGCGAACACUUUGACUUUAUUAUAAAUGCCUUUCAUUGUCUUUGUGAAUGUGUCAUCAAAUGAUUCUUAUACAACUUUCAACAACGGAUCUCUUGGCUCUCGCAUCGAUGAAGAACGCAGCGAAAUGCGAUAAGUAAUGUGAAUUGCAGAAUUCAGUGAAUCAUCGAAUCUUUGAACGCACCUUGCGCCCCUUGGUAUUCCGAGGGGCAUGCCUGUUUGAGUGUCAUGUUCUUCUCAAUUCUCUUAUUCUUAAUUGGGUAAGAGACUUGGACUUGGAGGUUAUAAUUGCUGGUGUAUAUCUAUAUUGGCUCCUCUAAAAUGCAUUAGCUAGACUUUGGUUUGCAUUGCUCGGUGUCAUAGUUCUUUCUAUAUUAACUCACUGGCGCAGUGCUUGCUUAGACGGGUCUGCUUCAAAUGGUCCGCUUUUGGACAGGUGCUUUGUUCACCUUAUAUGUGUUAUUGACCUCAAAUCAGGUAGGACACCCCAGUUC